Molecule: ribosomal RNA, 452 nt
Filed under: uncultured bacterium
Lineage: Bacteria
Description: bacterial SSU rRNA
Rfam family: Bacterial small subunit ribosomal RNA
Source: RNAcentral
GAUGAACGCUGGCGGUAUGCCUAACACAUGCAAGUCGUACGAGAGUUUUUAACUCUAGUGGCGGACGGGUGAGUAACACGUGAGAAUUUGCCUUUAGGAGGGGGAUAACAAUUGGAAACGAAUGCUAAUACCCCAUAUGCUUUUGAGUGAAAUGGAUUUUAUCCGCCUAGAGAGAAGCUCGCGGCUGAUUAGCUUGUUGGUAAGGUAAGAGCUUACCAAGGCGACAAUCAGUAUCUGGUUUGAGAGGACGAUCAGACACACUGGAACUGAGACACGGUCCAGACUCCUACGGGAGGCAGCAGUGGGGAAUUUUCCGAAUGGGCGAAAGCCUGACGGAGCAAUACCGCGUGAGGGAAGAAUGCCUAUGGGUUGUAAACCUCUUUUUUACUAGGGAGGAAUCAAAUGACGUGUACCUGAAGAAUAAGACAUCGGCUAACUCCGUGCCAGCAGCC